This 448-nucleotide ribosomal RNA is filed under the name uncultured bacterium. RNAcentral's name for it is "SSU rRNA". It matches the Rfam family "Bacterial small subunit ribosomal RNA", at positions 26 to 518 of the family's 1533-position model. The record is from RNAcentral.
AGAGCGAACGCUGGCGGCAGGCCUAACACAUGCAAGUCGAGCGCCCGUAGCAAUACGGGAGCGGCAGACGGGAUAGUAACACGUGGGAACGCGCCCUUCGGUUCGGAAUAACUCAGGGAAACUUGAGCUAAUACCGGAUACGCCCUUACGGGGAAAGAUUUAUUGCCGAAGGAACGGCCCGCGUCCGAUUAGCUAGUUGGUGAGGUAAUGGCUCACCAAGGCGACGAUCGGUAGCUGGUCUGAGAGGAUGACCAGCAUCACUGGGACUGAGACACGGCCCAGACUCCUACGGGAGGCAGCAGUGGGGAAUAUUGGACAAUGGGCGCAAGCCUGAUCCAGCCAUGCCGCGUGGAUGAUGAAGGCCUUAGGGUUGUAAAAGUCCGUUUAACGGGAAGAUAAUGACGGUACCCGAGUAAUAAGCCCCGACUAACUUCGCGCCAGCAGCCGC